GGAGUGGAUCGGGUGGUCGCUCAUCUCUCCAAGGAAAGGGAUGAGAGGAAAGUCCGGACUCCAGAGGGCAGGGUGCUGGGUAACGCCCAGGCGGAGUGAUCCGACAUCAGCGCCACAGAAAACACACCGCCGAAGGGUAGAGUCCAUUCUAUGGUCCCCCCAUAGAAUUGGAUUCUGCGCUGGUAAGGGUGAAAAGGCGGGGUAAGAGCCCACCGCAUCCAUGGUGACAUGGGUGGCAUGGUAAGCAUCACCCGGAGCAAAACCAAAUAGGAGAACGCACCGAAUCGCCUGGUCCCUAGGAGGAAGUUUCGGCAAACCUCACAUGGGGGAUGGCGUCAAUUCGGGAGAGGCUGGCCCGGCCAAUGUUCUCGGGUAGGUUGCUAGAAGCUCGGGGCGACCCGAGUUCCAGAGAGAUGA
RNAcentral lists this RNase P RNA (417 nucleotides) under Nitrospirota bacterium. RNAcentral describes it as "Nitrospirae bacterium partial RNase P RNA component class A". It matches the Rfam family "Bacterial RNase P class A", at positions 1 to 315 of the family's 367-position model. From Rfam's summary of the family: Ribonuclease P (RNase P) is a ubiquitous endoribonuclease, found in archaea, bacteria and eukarya as well as chloroplasts and mitochondria. Its best characterised activity is the generation of mature 5'-ends of tRNAs by cleaving the 5'-leader elements of precursor-tRNAs. Lineage: Bacteria; Pseudomonadati; Nitrospirota. The record is from RNAcentral.